GAGAGAACGAACAAGAGGAAAGAAAGUUCAUUUAAGUGGAGAAAGAUAUAAGAAGAUGUACUGUCCAUUCUGUGGUGCCAGCGUGACAUCUUCGCAUGGCUUUUGUGGUGUCUGUGGCAGAGACAUCACAUUUCUAAAAGAUGUGGCUAACAAAGUCCCUGAGGAGAUGCCCACCACUAGUGCGCAUCUAAGUGCACAGCCUAGCACCAGUGCAGCAGGAAGCUCAGCUGUAGAGUCCUUUCAAAAAUAU
Molecule: long non-coding RNA, 250 nt
Organism: Gymnodraco acuticeps
Lineage: Eukaryota; Metazoa; Chordata; Actinopteri; Perciformes; Bathydraconidae
Exons: 3
Source: RefSeq, a predicted model, not a curated record